This 65-nucleotide transfer RNA is filed under the name Chrysotila carterae. The record is from RNAcentral. Lineage: Eukaryota; Haptophyta; Isochrysidales; Isochrysidaceae.
CAACUGGGCACCAACACUUGGUCCGAUCACUGACGGCGAUAGUGACGCGUCGUUUGAGGCAGGCC